GACGAACGCUGGCGGCGCGCCUAACACAUGCAAGUCGAACGAGCGAGAGAGAGCUUGCUUUCUCAAGCGAGUGGCGAACGGGUGAGUAACGCGUGAGGAACCUGCCUCAAAGAGGGGGACAACAGUUGGAAACGACUGCUAAUACCGCAUAAGCCCACGACCCGGCAUCGGGUAGAGGGAAAAGGAGCAAUCCGCUUUGAGAUGGCCCCGCGUCCGAUUAGCUAGUUGGUGAGGUAACGGCCCACCAAGGCGACGAUCGGUAGCCGGACUGAGAGGUUGAACGGCCACAUUGGGACUGAGACACGGCCCAGACUCCUACGGGAGGCAGCAGUGGGGAAUAUUGCACAAUGGGGGAAACCCUGAUGCAGCGACGCCGCGUGGAGGAAGAAGGUCUUCGGAUUGUAAACUCCUGUUGUAGAGGAAGAUAAUGACGGUACUCAACAAGGAAGUGACGGCUAACUACGUG
Molecule: ribosomal RNA, 466 nt
Filed under: uncultured bacterium
Lineage: Bacteria
Description: partial 16S ribosomal RNA
Rfam family: Bacterial small subunit ribosomal RNA
Source: RNAcentral